CCACGUUAUAUUUUUAUUUAUGAGAUGUUCUACAGCUAUUGCCUUAGAGGCAAGACUUAAUUAGCUCAAGGACUUUCAAACUAUAAAUUAUGCCCCCACGAGCAAAAGUUGACUCUACCACAUUAUGUUUUCAUUUAUGAGAUGUUCUACAACUAUUGUCUUAAAGACAAGACUUAGCUCAAGGACUUUCAAGUUUCAAACUACAAAUUAUGCCCC
This 216-nucleotide long non-coding RNA is filed under the name Capsicum annuum. RNAcentral describes it as "long non-coding RNA (CANN_LNC004856)". Lineage: Eukaryota; Viridiplantae; Streptophyta; Magnoliopsida; Solanales; Solanaceae. The record is from RNAcentral.